This 253-nucleotide ribosomal RNA is filed under the name uncultured bacterium. RNAcentral describes it as "partial 16S ribosomal RNA". It matches the Rfam family "Bacterial small subunit ribosomal RNA", at positions 524 to 776 of the family's 1533-position model. The record is from RNAcentral.
UACAGAGGGUGCGAGCGUUGUUCGGAAUUAUUGGGCGUAAAGGGCUCGUAGGCGGUUUGUCGCGUCGGGAGUGAAAUCCACUGGCUUAACUGGUGGCUUGCUUUCGAUACGGGCAGACUGGAGGUAUGCAGGGGAGAACGGAAUUCCUGGUGUAGCGGUGAAAUGCGCAGAUAUCAGGAGGAACACCGGUGGCGAAGGCGGAUCUCUGGGCCUGUCCUGACGCUGAGGCGCGAAAGCUAGGGGAGCGAACAGG